Molecule: long non-coding RNA, 1182 nt
Organism: Drosophila arizonae
Lineage: Eukaryota; Metazoa; Arthropoda; Insecta; Diptera; Drosophilidae
Source: RefSeq, a predicted model, not a curated record
CAUUUACUGGGUAUAAGGACAAACAAUAAAGCUAGCCAUUGAGCAGGUCAGGGCCCUUUGCUCAAUUCAUUGACAGCAGCUUUAAAAUUAAAGUCGUUCUAAUUAAUUAGAGCACUGGAUUCCGAACUGUCGACAUCUGAUGUAUGCAUAGAUCGUAGCUGGGGCGUCACUGACCCAGCGUGCAUGCAGAGUACACAAUGAGAGGGAGAAAGGGAGAGGGCGGAGGCAGACGGGUGAGAGAGGGGAGAACAAGAACGACUCUUUGUAAUUUGGCGUUGAUAUGCCGCACAGUUUGUGUUGGAAAUUAAUAAGCAGAAAAAGGCAAGCCAAGCGACGGCAACGGCGACGGCGACGGCGACAAUGCUGAUGAUGAACAUCAUCAUAAUGAUCCUAAUGAUGAUGAUGAUGAUCAUGUGGCAGGCAGAGAACAAGUCCGGGGACAAACAAGUUUUCCAGUUUUUCCAAUUUUCAUGCACUAAACGCAAUCAGUGCUCAUGAUCUGUACAUUAGCGUCGUGUGCUGAUCACGCAGAUUGCUCACAUGGACACGUAAAGAGAGAGGGAGAGAGAGAGAGAGAGAGGAGAGAGAGGGAAAGAGCAAGAAAAACGAAAUGAAACGCUUUCGAAAUGUAAAGCGCAGUGAGCGUAAUUAAUCAAAAAACUUGGAGGAGAAAAAAAAAACAACUAGAGCUUAAGUUUCACUCGGAGCAGCAGAACAACAAGAGGCAUUGUGCCGAGGCAGAGGCAGAGCGAGCGAGCCGAUAAAUAAUCAUUUAGCAUUAAUUUCAAAUAGUGCAUUAUGUCACAAGCGCGAGUGCAAUGCCAGGCUUAUUUCAAAUGAAAGCGAAAGUAUGUCAGCCCAGAGAAAGAGAAGCAGAGAGACAGAGUGAGCCAGGGAGAUGGGGAGGGGGGAGCAGCUUGUCUGACAACUGAAGCGUGAAAGAUUCUGUAAAGCUCGCAUCUCACAACUGAUAAAUACAAAAGGCAUUGGCAUUGUGGCUGCACUUAACGCGCAUGCGUGCCUCACUGCCUGGCCUGACUUGAUGAGCGGAUCGAAGAGCCAGCGAGGGGGCACUGAGAGGGGGGGGCCAUCGUGAGGCAGUCCGCAACACACAGCUUUCCAGUCCAGUGGCUCAAAGUGAAAUGGAAAGGCCGCUGUAGACGCGACGAAAUGACAAAAAAA